Molecule: ribosomal RNA, 254 nt
Filed under: uncultured bacterium
Lineage: Bacteria
Description: partial 16S ribosomal RNA
Rfam family: Bacterial small subunit ribosomal RNA
Source: RNAcentral
UACGUAGGGUGCGAGCGUUAAUCGGAAUUACUGGGCGUAAAGCGUGCGCAGGCGGUUAUUUAAGUCAGGUGUGAAAGCCCUGGGCUUAACCUAGGAAUUGCGCUUGAGACUGGAUAGCUUGGAGUGCGGCAGAGGGAGGUGGAAUUCCACGUGUAGCAGUGAAAUGCGUAGAGAUGAGGAGGAACACCGAUGGCGAAGGCAGCCUCCUGGGCCAGCACUGACGCUCAUGCACGAAAGCGUGGGGAGCAAACAGG